AGUUUUUACUAAAUGAAGAAAAAAAACUUAUCUUAGUACCUUUGAGUGGUGUGAUACCUCUUUCUACAAAGGAAUGCAAGUAAAAAACACACAAUAAAGAACAUGCAUUGGCUGGAACAAAGAGAGCAAUUGGGAGUGCAAGUUCUUCAGCAGCUUGAAUAGUAAAAGUCAUCAAACAAUCAGAAACCAAACAAGUAACUGGUGGAAUAAGACCAAUAUUGGCAGAUUCACUAAGUCUAGCAAGAACUUCACAAAAAGGUUUAUAGAAAUUCUUCAUGACUGAUUGACAAAGAGAGUUUGUGUCUUGACUAACAUCACCAUUACCUUCCAUUGGUGUUAAACCAUCUGGUAUAGUUUCAAAGUUAAAGUCAGUGAAACCAUCAAGAGAAUUAGGACCCUUUGAGUUAAGCAAACGUUUGUGAUUGUAUUCAGUGUUGACAAAGGUUAUGUGAAAGCCUUUAAGGUGAAGAAGUUUUGCUACUUUGAAUAAUGGAUUGAUAUGGCCUUGAAGUGGAUAUGGAAUCAACACUGCAUGUGGUUUUUUCUCUGCAUAAUUAUUCAUAUCUGAUGAAAUUUUCUGUUUCUAUGUUAUGUAUGCAAGAUAUGAGGUUGAGAAGCUUGUUCUUACAUAAAUGGAAAUAGGAUAGUGUUAUCCUGUGACUCUUGGAGGAGUAAUAGAAUUAAAAAAAAAUAUAAAGAAAUCAACAAACAGAUAUAAAAUUUAGGAGGUCCUAUCAAAAGAAAAUAAGAUCUAAUAAUUGAUUUUUGCUAUUAUUAUAAUUUUUUCACUUUUGCUUCCCACACCCCUCAAUUUACUUCCCACACCCCUUAAAUUUUUUGUAAACCCUGAAUACCCAAACUACCCUUCUCUCUUUAUUCAAUUAACUCAUCAUUUCUAACUUCAUCAUCUUCAUCUUCAUUAACCUAACACCUUCAUCUUCAAUCAUCUACAUCCUUGAAUCAAGUAAGCAAUCUUCAAUCAUUUUUAACCCUAAACCGAAUUUUUUUUUUUGAAUGGUUUAGGGUUUUUUGAAUGGUUGUUUUUGAAUAUUCAUCAAUGGUUGUUUUUUGAAUGAUUGUUCCAAAUUUCAUCACUUUUACGUGAACUGAGAUAAGUAUAUGUACGUGUUCACGUAGCAAAUACGUAAAUUGAAUUCAAGUGAACAUACGUAAACUCGGUUCACGUAUGACUGAGAUUUUUCAAAUUCUUACCAAUACGUGAACUAAAUUCACGUAUGUGUACGUGAAUUCAAUUCACAUGUUUGUUACGUGAAUUGAGUUCACGUACGUUAUCUCAAUUCACGUAGUUCAUAUGAAAUUUUAAAACUCCAUUGAUGUACGCAAUCUUAAUUCAUGUACGUUUACGUAAACUUAAUUCACGUAGCAUCUGAAUUUUCUUAAUUUUAUUAGAUACGUGAAUUCAUUUCACGUAAACGUACGAAAUCCAGAUUUUGAAAAAAAAAUUAAGCUACAAAACCCAACAAAAUACAUAUCUAGUUGAUUUGAAUCACUAUAAUGAUAAAGAUGAUGAAAAUGAUGAAGAUGUUGAAAAUGAUUGAAGAUGAAAUGUAUCAAAAUGAUUGAAGAAUAUUGAAGAAGAUUGAAAAUGUUAGGUUAAUGAAGAUGAACAUGAUGAAGAUAUAUAGAAAUGAAGGGUUAAAUGAAUAAAGAGGGAAGGACAGUUCGGGUAUUUUGGGUUUACAAAAAAAUUGAGGAGUGUGGGAAGCAAAAUGAGGGGUGUGGGAAGCAAACGUGUAAUUCUUUUUUAUAUAAAAAACUGUUGGUAAGUUAACUGUUAUGUUAGUUUUAAGAAAUAACCUUGAUUGUGUUAUUGGAAAAUGUUGUCCAUCAAUCACAAUCACCACAAACUCUUCACGUACAGUUACUUACAAUCUAUAAAUUAGUUGUAUGUAUAAACACAACAAAAUAAUAUGAAGCAUGUGAGGAUGCACUGUUUUUAAAGAGUUAUUCUCCUAGAUGAAAAUUCCUAAGGAUUUACAAAAUUAACACCAAAUAAAUUGCUGAAAUAAGAGUAAAAUAUCAUUCUUAUAGAGAAGAAAGAAAUAAUAAGACAAUAAAGCCAAUUAACUUUCAACUUUUUAAAAGUUCAACAAAGCCGAUAAGAUUUUGGAGUGGUUACAAUGAUGCAUUAAUAUUAUAGUAUGAUUAAAGCCAUUAUAUUAUGAUGAAUAAUUAGAGUAUGUUCAGUAUUGUGUGUAAAGUCUAAUUUAAUUCGCAAAUAUUUAUAUUAUUAAGCUAAGUAUUAUGUCUUGGAUCUGAAUCAAAAAUCUUGCAAUUGUGCAUGUGAAUUUUAAAUAACGUUUAUUAUUUUGUCUACAAACAUAAAAUAAUAAUUACAUAAAGAAAAACCUAGUUGUCUAGCCAUUACAAUUUACACGUCUUUUCAUAUUCAUAUAUUAAAAUAAAAAGAGUAGUAUAGAGUUCUUUUUUGUGUAGAAUUAUCUCUCUACAUUGUUUUUUUUUUCUCCUUUUAUCUAAAUAUAAAAGGUUAUUAAUUUAGUUUUUUUUUUGUAUUGUACAUAAUUUUGUGGAAUGUUGUUUGAUUUCUCAUUUUGUUGUGAUAUUCGUUUGAUUUAGAUCGACAAAUUAAUUUUGAUCAAUUACAGAUUCAAUCAACACUUUAACAUGAUCAAUGUUACAAAUUCAAAGACACAAGUAUUCUAAAUAUAUACUUUAAUUUUGUCAACUUUUUAGACGUUUUUCCAUUUUACACUAUGAACUUAGAUGAAUUAAGGUUGUAGACAGAUUCAUCAUUUUCAAUUUAAAAGAUUUUGAAAAAAAUAAAAAAAUUCGAUGUUUCUAACAAUUUGAAUUAAUAAAUAUUGUUUUUUUAAGUAAAAAAAGAAUAUAUUAUGAAAUAAUUAAUUUGUUCAUUUGCCAAUUGUCAAGUAAGGAAGACCAAAUCAAGGUACUAAAGGUAUAUCAAAACCAAAUAACUUUAACCAUUUAAUUAAAUUUGCAUUAAUCAAAAUUAUGUAAUUAAAUUACUUUUAAAUUUAAAAUAUUAUAAAAUUUACAAUAUCUACUACUCAAAAUUCCUUUUGGUGUUUUUUACCUCACCGAUUGAGCAACUUGAACUCACUUUAUUGUUCUUAGAUAUGUUGGUUAUUCUCUAGUUUAACCAAAUCAAGAGUGCAUUGAAUUUUCUGUUGUGUCCAUAUGAUACAUUAAUUAGUCAAGAAUAUUAGGGUCCACUAAAUAUUUAUGCAUGAUUGUGAAGAUGGACCACCAAAAUAAGUAUCAGUCCAGUUUGUCCACAUGCAAUCUGCAUUAGAGAGUUUGUUAUCCUUUUGAUAGGUGGAAAUAAAUUUGUAAAACAAAAUAAUAGAUAGUGUUAUAAAUCCUACUAUCAAAGACACGAAGAUUCAUCUCAUAGGAAAAAUAAAUUUGAGAGUUUAAUACAGAGAAAAACACUUUUUAAAGAUAGUAGACAAGUACAUGAGGUGUUCUAUAUUUCGAGAGAAUGCAUAAUAAUAAUAAUAAUAAUAAUAUCAGCUUAUAAAAUUUUAGAUACAACCAGCACUAUUAAAAGAUGCAUAAUUUUUUCUUGUGAGUGAAAUACAUUGAAUAAAAGAAGAUUAAUGAAGUAACAGAAUGCAUAAUAUAACUCUAUCUAAUUGUGUUUAAGCAACACCUCAUUAAUCACUUUGUCCAAGUUCAUAUAUGAACAACCACCAACUCUUGUGUCCUCCAUUGCCUUAUUCUUCAACUCCAUAGCCUUUUCCCUCAUCUUCUUUCCUUUCUCUCCAACUAUCAAUUCAUUGACCAACUUCUCCACUUCCUCUCUCUUCACAUUAGUAUCAAUUUCAAGUCCAAUCUCCCAUUCAUUGCAAAUAAAUCUACAAUUUGUUGGCUGAUCACCAAAGACUGGCCAACACAACAUUGGAACUCCAGCACAUAUGCUCUCAGUGGUUGAAUUCCAUCCACAAUGAGUCAAGAAUCCACCAAUUGAAGGGUGGUUCAAAACUUUCUCUUGUGGACACCAACUUGCUAUUAGGCCUCUAUCUGAAGUUUCAUUCACAAACUCAGAUGACAAAACCACAGAGCCACCAAUCACAAGAUCAGGCCUAAUGAUCCACAAAAAUGGUUUUUUGCUAUUAGCCAAACCCCAUGCAAACUCUAACACUUGCUCAUGAGUCAUAACUGUAAUGCUUCCAAAAUUCACAUAAACAAUAGACCUUGGUUCCUUGCUUUCAAGCCACUCAAGACACUUAGUAUCUUCUUUCCAAAGAUUGCAACCUAAUGAUGCCAAGUGAUUUUGUGGUGUUUGAUUUAAUAAUGAAGGUAAAGGACCAAUGGGGUAUAGAGAAGGAAACAUAGAAGAGAGAGCAUCUAUUACAUCACUCUCAAGCUCAUUGAAUGUAUUCAAAACAAUGGUAGAUUCUCUAUUGACUCUAUCUGCCAUUUCAAUGAGAAAUUCUAACAUAAUAUCAUUUGGAUUUGUUGUUCUGAUAAAGGCAACAAUGUCCUUCAAUCGAAAGUUCUUCAAACCUGGAAUCCAUUCUACUUUAGCUUCCAAAAAUCCAUUUCUCAGGUAACUCUCAUCUGCAUAUCAUGGAAGUUAAUUAUUUGUUCAAGUAUAAAUUAUACUUUUCAAAUUUUAUGAAAUUUUUUGGAUAUCAACUUCUUAUUAAGAGUUUUUAAAUUGACUGUAGUGCAAUCAACUAAAAUAUGGACCGUCCUAUCUUUUGAGUGUACGGUCCAUAUGUAUCUGGCUGCAGUCAAUGUUUACGUUGAGGCUUCAUAGAUUAUAAAUUAUAAUCUAUGAAGACAAAGAAAAAAACUUAACUUGGUACAUACCUUUGAGUGGUGUGAGUCCUUUUUCUACAAAGGAACGAAAGUGCAAAAUACACAUCAAAGAACAUGCACUGGCUGGAAAAUAGAGAACAUUAGGGAGUGAUAGUUCUUCAGCAGCUUGUAUAGUAAAGCUCAUACAAGAAUCAGAAACUAAGCAAGUAACUGGUGGAAUAAGAGCAUCAUUGGCAGAGUCAUUAAGUCUAGCAAGAAGUUCACAAAAAGGUUUGAGGAAGUUCUUUCUGAUAGACUGACUAAGAGAAGGUACAUCUUGACUAACAUCACCAUCACCUUCUAUUGGAGUUAAACCAUCUGGUAUAGUCUCAAAGUUAAAGUCAGUGAAACCAUUAAGAGAAUUAGGACCUCUUGAUUUGAGCAAACGUUUGUGAUUGUACUCAGUGUUGACAAAGGUUAUGUGAAAGCCUCUAAGGUGAAGAAGUUUUG
Molecule: long non-coding RNA, 5259 nt
Filed under: Cicer arietinum (chickpea)
Lineage: Eukaryota; Viridiplantae; Streptophyta; Magnoliopsida; Fabales; Fabaceae
Description: long non-coding RNA (CARI_LNC000391)
Source: RNAcentral